AACACCAUUAAUAUUCUUAGAACAUCAUCAAUAUUAACAAUUAACCACAAAUCAUAAUAACAUGCUUUCGUUUUGUGUUUGUGAUAUUGAAACAACCAACAUGCAAACAUGGAAAAGAUACGCAAUUUGACGAGGAGUUUUUACACAACAUAACUCGUGAACUGUUGAAGGACACACGACUUAGUCAAACACUGACUAAUGUUGUAAUCCCAACUUUCGACACCAAGAGACAAAAGCCAGUUAUAUUCUCAAACUACAAGGUUGAGAAGUAUCCCUACUUCAAUGCCUUGAUGUCUGAUAUAAGCAUAUCGGCUUCAGCAGCACCCACUCUUCUUCCACCCUACUAUUUUCGGAAUGAUGGUGUUGACUUCAAUUUGAUUAGUGAUGCGGACUUGAGUAUGCUUAGUAAUGAUCUAGUAAAUGGAAAUCCGCUGUACCAUGAAUGUUCUCCUUUGAAGCUAUCAGCUAUUGUCGUGAGUUUGUUGGGAAUGACAAUGGCUUUGUCAGAAAGCUUAUCACUUCCAUUGGAGUCUCGUUGUAGUUGAAGGGAGUUCAUGGUAAUAGAGUUCAUUCGAAGCCUGCAUUUGAAUGGAACUGCUCUUGGUUCUUUUGUGCGGCCUGCUGUUCUAAUAACUGAUGCUUACAAUGCUUUGAACAAUCAGCCUUACAGACGGCAAAAGGACAAAGAAUUUGGAGGUCACUGCAUUAAAGUCACAAUUGGAUGAACAAAAUAAACGAAAUGAAGAACGUGACAAAAGACUUGAUGCAAUCAUGAACUUCUUUUCUCAAAAUUAUCAAGGUCAAUUGCCUCCUGAGUUGACUAUGUUCAAUCCUACACCGGUUUCUGAUCAAGAAAGUGUGAAAACUAAUACAACAAGUUCUGGACAUGACGAAAAUCAUAUGUGAUAGUUCAAGAAUAUAAUAUAAUGUGGAAGUUAAUUUAAUCAUUUAAUGUUUUGAGAACUAUUGCAGUACUUCAUGAUAGUUUUUGCUGACUAAUAUUGUACUUGAAUUUGAAUUUGAAUUCGUAUAUUUGUUGUACUUUGAUAUACAUUUAGUCAUCUAUAAAUAAUUUGUCAAUUUGAUGA
This is a long non-coding RNA of Vigna unguiculata (cowpea), 1088 nucleotides long. NCBI's taxonomy places the organism in Eukaryota, Viridiplantae, Streptophyta, Magnoliopsida, Fabales, Fabaceae. The record is from RefSeq and is a predicted model, not a curated record.